This 66-nucleotide transfer RNA is filed under the name Telenomus dignus. RNAcentral's name for it is "tRNA-Asn". Lineage: Eukaryota; Metazoa; Arthropoda; Insecta; Hymenoptera; Scelionidae. The record is from RNAcentral.
UUAAUUGAAACCAAAAUAGAGGUAAAUUAUUGUUAAUAAUUUUAUUGAAAUAAAUUUCCAAUUAAA